This 485-nucleotide ribosomal RNA is filed under the name uncultured bacterium. RNAcentral's name for it is "bacterial SSU rRNA". It matches the Rfam family "Bacterial small subunit ribosomal RNA", at positions 8 to 507 of the family's 1533-position model. The record is from RNAcentral.
AGAGUUUGAUCAUGGCUCAGAACGAACGCUGGCGGCGCGUCUUAAACAUGCAAGUCGAACGAUCUGUAGCAAUACAGGGAGUGGCGGACGGGUGAGGAACACGUAGGAAUCUACCUUGAAGAGCGGGACAACUUUGGGAAACCGGGGCUAAUACCGCAUAGUACAGAGAUGUUAAAGGGCUAGCAAUAGUCGCUUCGAGAUGAGCCUGCGGUCUAUCAGCUUGUUGGUGAGGUAAUGGCUCACCAAGGCUACGACGGAUAGCCGGUCUGAGAGGAUGAUCGGCCACACUGGCACUGAGACACGGGCCAGACUCCUACGGGAGGCAGCAGUUAAGAAUCUUGCGCAAUGGGGAAACCCUGACGCAACGACGCCGCGUGAAGGAUGAAGGCUUUCGGGUUGUAAACUUCGGUAGACUGGGAAGAAGAAAUACGUUCGUUGAGGGCGUAUAGUGACGGUACCAGUCUGAAGCCCCGGCUAAUUACGUG